GAUAACACUUCAAUAAGAGAAGACUGAUAGAAGAUUGAUUAAUAUAG
This 47-nucleotide non-coding RNA is filed under the name Trypanosoma brucei brucei. Lineage: Eukaryota; Euglenozoa; Kinetoplastea; Trypanosomatida; Trypanosomatidae. The record is from RNAcentral.